RNAcentral lists this long non-coding RNA (380 nucleotides) under Vigna radiata. RNAcentral describes it as "long non-coding RNA (VRAD_LNC005086)". The record is from RNAcentral. Lineage: Eukaryota; Viridiplantae; Streptophyta; Magnoliopsida; Fabales; Fabaceae.
CCCUUUUGUCUCCCUCUUCCACGUGUUUUCAUUCCUCCCCCAUCAUUUCCACUAAUUCCUCCUUUUUAGGAGAGUGGUUUUCCUUUUCCCUAACUUCCUCCAAUUUUCCUUUAAUUUAAUCUCUUUAAAUCAGUCAUAAAAGAGAUCAAUAACUGCUCAAUAACUGCUCCUGGAAACUUUCACAGCCCAUGGAAAACUCCCCACUCUGCCUGUGUUCUUCUCUGUUCCUCUUGCCAAAUCCUGACGUGAAUCCACAGGUUGUGGUAGAAACCACAACUCACUUGUGAAGCUCUCUGUUUUGCCACUGCAUUUUGAAGCAAACUCCACAGGUUAUGGAACUGUCCCCAGCUGCGUUGUUGAACUCUCUGGAUUCAUCUUUC